Molecule: ribosomal RNA, 253 nt
Filed under: uncultured bacterium
Lineage: Bacteria
Description: partial 16S ribosomal RNA
Rfam family: Bacterial small subunit ribosomal RNA
Source: RNAcentral
UACGUAGGGUGCAAGCGUUAAUCGGAAUUACUGGGCGUAAAGCGUGCGCAGGCGGCUUUGCAAGACAGAUGUGAAAUCCCCGGGCUCAACCUGGGAACUGCAUCUGUGACUGCAAGGCUAGAGUACGGUAGAGGGGGAUGGAAUUCCGCGUGUAGCAGUGAAAUGCGUAGAUAUGCGGAGGAACACCGAUGGCGAAGGCAAUCCCCUGGACCUGUACUGACGCUCAUGCACGAAAGCGUGGGGAGCAAACAGG